UUAAAAAUAAAGAUUUGAGACUUCAAUUUUUGCAGAAAGUUAGAAAUACCUAUUCUGAUAUAGAUAAUAUGGAUGAUGUGGAUAAAUUGGUUUUAUGUCUUUCGUGUCCGUCAAUUAUGCAGUAUACGGCUCCAUUUGUUAAAAAGUCAUGGUCACUGAGGAGAGUGGACUCAACAACUGCAUGAUAGAUACUUAUAUGUAUAUAAUGUUUGUUCUUUUGUUGCUAUUUUUGUAUGAUGUAUUGUGUUCAUUUAUAUAUGCCUUCAACCCCAUUGGGGUAUAAAUGUGCAUUUAUUCAAUAAAC
This 304-nucleotide long non-coding RNA is filed under the name Mytilus galloprovincialis (Mediterranean mussel). Lineage: Eukaryota; Metazoa; Mollusca; Bivalvia; Mytilida; Mytilidae. The record is from RNAcentral.